UUUGCCAGGCCGUGUUUGAUCUUGUUAGCGCUUGCCUGCAUGCGUUUUUAUGUUUGUAGCCAUGUACUGGACCACGUGUCUCCUGCUUGGCAUUUUGAUUGGUCGUUCUGAGUUAGCCGUGCCACAUAGACUUAAAUGAAACGGUGCGUUUCAUUAGGAAACGCGCCUCAAUUUAAAUAUCAACUCAGUUCGAUUCUCUCAUGCAGCAUAA
RNAcentral lists this long non-coding RNA (211 nucleotides) under Lathyrus oleraceus (garden pea). Its description in RNAcentral is "Pisum sativum (pea) long non-coding RNA (PSAT_LNC036630)". Lineage: Eukaryota; Viridiplantae; Streptophyta; Magnoliopsida; Fabales; Fabaceae. The record is from RNAcentral.